GAUCAUGGCUCAGGACGAACGCUGGCGGCGCGCCUAACACAUGCAAGUCGAACGGAGUCAAGAGGAGCUUGCUUUUCUUGACUUAGUGGCGAACGGGUGAGUGACGCGUGAGUAACCUGCCCUGGAGUGGGGGACAACAGUUGGAAACGACUGCUAAUACCGCAUAAGCCCACAGCCCGGCAUCGGGCUGAGGGAAAAGGAUUUAUUCGCUUCAGGAUGGACUCGCGUCCAAUUAGCUAG
This 240-nucleotide ribosomal RNA is filed under the name uncultured bacterium. Its description in RNAcentral is "partial 16S ribosomal RNA". It matches the Rfam family "Bacterial small subunit ribosomal RNA", at positions 15 to 248 of the family's 1533-position model. The record is from RNAcentral.